RNAcentral lists this long non-coding RNA (754 nucleotides) under Nicotiana benthamiana. RNAcentral describes it as "long non-coding RNA (NBEN_LNC030459)". Lineage: Eukaryota; Viridiplantae; Streptophyta; Magnoliopsida; Solanales; Solanaceae. The record is from RNAcentral.
CAUCUGGCUGGAUAUGAUUUCCCAAAAAUCAUGGGAGAGGUCCUGAUUUACUGAUGAGAAGUGGAUCUUUUCCUUGUGCGCCAACGACUUCCUUCAACGAGAAUUUCCUUCCUUAUUUGAUGCUUCAAUCUCGCUUCCAUGAUUGGAUAUAGUGGCCGCUUGCCUUUUAGCUUUGCUUCAUUAGUUUUAGUGGUUCUGCUUCCUUCCUUGAAUAUCUGGACAUGUAUAUUAAUUGCAUCAUUAAAAUCUAAUCUAACAAUCUCCCCCUUUUUGAUGAUGGCAGUGGUUCUGCCUCCUUUCUUGAGUAUCUGCACAUGUAUGUUAAUUGCAUCACUAAAAUCUAAUCUAACAAUCUCCCCUUUUUUGAUGAUGGCAAAAUUAAUAUACUAGAGUAAACAACAGUUGACUUCCCUGUUUACAUUCAGUUGGAUUGCUCCCCCUCAAUGUGUAGUCAACUGGACUUGAGCUCCCAUUGUUUAUGUGUAGUCGAUGUGUUUCUCCCCCUCAUUAGAUGCAGGCGACUGGGAUCUGUAGAGGAUUAUCUAACAGACAUACGAAGUACAUGAUGAAGUCGACUUGACAAACAAUCAACCUGUCUUGUGCAGAUAUAAUAAUAACUAUGCAAUAGUAUAGGCACAUCAAAUCACAUCGAAUCAUCAUACUGUAUAGCAAAGAUAGCAUAUAUAUUUCUCCCCCUUUUUGACAUUAGCAAAAUAGGGAGCAGCAAAAGCAUAGUUCACAAAAAAUAAAAUUC